CAGUCGCCGCGGUAAUACGAAGGGUGCAAGCGUUACUCGGAAUUACUGGGCGUAAAGCGUGCGUAGGUGGUGGUUUAAGUCCGUUGUGAAAGCCCUGGGCUCAACCUGGGAAUUGCAGUGGAUACUGGAUCACUAGAGUGUGGUAACGGAUAGUGGAAUUUCCGGUGUAGCAGUGAAAUGCGUAGAGAUCGGAAGGAACAUCUGUGGCGAAGGCGACUAUCUGGGCCAACACUGACACUGAGGCACGAAAGCAUGGGGAGCAAACAGGAUUAGAUACCCCCGUAGUCCCUGUCUCUUAUAC
This 301-nucleotide ribosomal RNA is filed under the name uncultured bacterium. RNAcentral describes it as "partial 16S ribosomal RNA". It matches the Rfam family "Bacterial small subunit ribosomal RNA", at positions 509 to 807 of the family's 1533-position model. The record is from RNAcentral.